GACGAACGCUGGCGGCGUGCUUAACACAUGCAAGUCGAACGGAAAGGCCCUGCUUUUGUGGGGUGCUCGAGUGGCGAACGGGUGAGUAACACGUGAGUAACCUGCCCUUGACUUUGGGAUAACUUCAGGAAACUGGGGCUAAUACCGGAUAGGAGCUCCUGCUGCAUGGUGGGGGUUGGAAAGUUUCGGCGGUUGGGGAUGGACUAGCGGCUUAUCAGCUUGUUGGUGGGGGAGUGGCUUACCAAGGCUUUGACGGGUAGCCGGCCUGGGAGGGGGACCGGCCACGUUGGGACUGAGAUACGGCCCAGACUCCUACGGGAGGCAGCAGUGGGGAAUAUUGCACAAUGGGCGGAAGCCUGAUGCAGCAACGCCGCGUGCGGGAUGACGGCCUUCGGGUUGUAAACCGCUUUCGCCUGUGACGAAGCGUGAGUGACGGUAAUGGGUAAAGAAGCACCGGCUAACUACGUG
Molecule: ribosomal RNA, 468 nt
Filed under: uncultured bacterium
Lineage: Bacteria
Description: partial 16S ribosomal RNA
Rfam family: Bacterial small subunit ribosomal RNA
Source: RNAcentral